UACGUAGGGUGCAAGCGUUGUCCGGAUUUAUUGGGCGUAAAGGGCUCGUAGGCGGUUUGUCGCGUCGGGAGUGAAAACUCAGGGCUUAACCCUGAGCCUGCUUCCGAUACGGGCAGACUAGAAGGUAUGCAGGGGGAGAACGGAAUUCCUGGUGUAGCGGUGAAAUGCGCAGAUAUCAGGAGGAACACCGUGGCGAAGGCGGUUCUCUGGGCAUUACCUGACGUGAGGAGCGAAA
This 235-nucleotide ribosomal RNA is filed under the name uncultured bacterium. RNAcentral describes it as "partial 16S ribosomal RNA". It matches the Rfam family "Bacterial small subunit ribosomal RNA", at positions 524 to 758 of the family's 1533-position model. The record is from RNAcentral.